Molecule: ribosomal RNA, 539 nt
Filed under: uncultured bacterium
Lineage: Bacteria
Description: bacterial SSU rRNA
Rfam family: Bacterial small subunit ribosomal RNA
Source: RNAcentral
UGAGGAAUAUUGGUCAAUGGACGGAAGUCUGAACCAGCCAAGUAGCGUGCAGGAAGACGGCCCUAUGGGUUGUAAACUGCUUUUGUAUGGGGAUAAAGUCAAUCACGUGUGAUUGUUUGCAGGUACCAUACGAAUAAGGACCGGCUAAUUCCGUGCCAGCAGCCGCGGUAAUACGGAAGGUUCGGGCGUUAUCCGGAUUUAUUGGGUUUAAAGGGAGCGUAGGCCGGAGAUUAAGUGUGUUGUGAAAUGUAGACGCUCAACGUCUGACUUGCAGCGCAUACUGGUUUCCUUGAGUACGCACAACGUUGGCGGAAUUCGUCGUGUAGCGGUGAAAUGCUUAGAUAUGACGAAGAACUCCGAUUGCGAAGGCAGCUGACGGGAGCGCAACUGACGCUGAAGCUCGAAGGUGCGGGUAUCGAACAGGAUUAGAUACCCUGGUAGUCCGCACAGUAAACGAUGGAUGCCCGCUGUUGGUACCUGGUAUCAGCGGCUAAGCGAAAGCAUUAAGCAUCCCACCUGGGGAGUACGCCGGCAACGGU